Molecule: unclassified non-coding RNA, 2020 nt
Filed under: Polistes dominula (European paper wasp)
Lineage: Eukaryota; Metazoa; Arthropoda; Insecta; Hymenoptera; Vespidae
Description: wD repeat and FYVE domain-containing protein 2, transcript variant X2
Source: RNAcentral
CUUUCUGACGAUUCAUAAACUGUGAAUAACGUCGAAGUCCGGCAACUGUCAAAUGACAUUCGCAUUUCUAAGGUUACUACUUUGAUUUUGAAAUGGCAGCAGAAAUAAAACCUACAACCGGAAGGAAUCAUGAUAAGUUUAGUUCCAGUCGCAAGCCCGUACUUUUGUCAAAAUUAGAAGGAUGUAACGACGAUGUUAACGCGGCUAUUAUCAUCCCGCGGGAAGACGGGGUAAUUAGCGUUUGCGAUGACAGAACUGUUAGAGUAUGGCUAAAACGAGACUCUGGGCAAUAUUGGCCAAGUGUUUGUCAGUACAUGCCUGUUGGUGCUACUUCUAUGCAUUAUUCCGUAGAAACGCGCCAAUUGUUUGUUGGACUUGAAAAUGGAAGUAUAAAUGAAUUUCUUUUGGAACAAGAUUAUAAUCGUAUGACUGGUAUGCGUGAAUAUUUAGCUCAUCAAGCAAGAGUUUCUGGAGUUAUAUACGCUCCUAAUUGCGAAUGGGUAUUGAGCAUAGGUCGUGAUAAGUUAUUUCAAUUACACUGUUCCAAUACCGGAAGGAAAUUAGGAUCGUAUCAAACGGAUGCAUGGUACACCGCUCUACAAUUUGAUGCUCAAUCUAAACACGCUUUUGUGGGAGAUUAUUCUGGACAAAUAGCAAUGCUAAAAUUGGAUGCUAACGGUGUUACAUUCAUUACUAUGCUGAAAGCUCAUACUGGAAGUAUUCAUACUUUAGCAUGGGACUCGGAGAAGCAGCUUUUGUUUUCUGGGAGUUUUGAUCAAAGUAUUAUAGUGUGGGAUAUCGGAGGACGUCAAGGCACAGCAUAUGAACUUCAAGGCCAUCACAACAAAGUAACAGCACUUUGUUAUGCGAGCACGGAACGUAUAUUAAUAUCCGGAGGAGAAGAUGCCGUAAUUGUUUGUUGGGAUAUGGCUGCAAAUAGGAGAGAAACUGCACCUUGGGUUGAAUCUGACACGUGUCAAGCUUGCGGUAGGCCAUUUUUCUGGAAUAUAAAAGCAAUGAUGGAUCAGCGUCAAAUAGGGCUAAGACAGCAUCAUUGUCGUCAUUGCGGACGUGCUCUGUGCGCUCGUUGCACCUCUCAAAGGACACCGAUCCCAUCCAUGGGAUUUGAGUUUGAAGUUCGAGUGUGCGAUCCAUGCCAUAUUCAACUUAAAGCUGCCAACCAAACAUCUCUCGCAUCGUUUCACGACGCGAAACAUAGUAUUAUUGGAAUGGAUUUAGAUGCUCCACGUCGAAGAUUACUGACCAUCGGUCAGGACCGCUUAAUUAAAAUAUGGGAUAUUUCUGCACUGCUUCAGUGAACUUGCAAGUAUAUAUGCUUUUUCCAAACAAAUCAAAUUAUAUGAUACGGAAAAACUGUUAUCACCUUUAAACCAUGUUCAAAAAUGUGCUAUCCACAGCGUAUUUUUGUGAUUAUGUUAUUAUUUCUAAUUACAAUUUCACCACAUAUACUUUGUGUAAUGUAGAUUUUUCUUUAUGGAAAUAAUGAAAUAAUAUUGCAAACUUAAUUACACAAAGUAGAAUUGUAAUGAUAGUUUUUAAAAAUUCAAGUCAUCGAUACUUCUUUGCACCAAAUACUCAUGUAUUCCUUGUAUAUUUAUAAAACAAGCAGCAAUAGAUGUGAAUAUAUUUUCUCAUAUAAAGUAGAGGGACUCGAUGCAAUUAAUUGGAAAAGAAAAGACUAAAAUUAUAAACGAUCUAUCUAUUUUUGGGAUAAUGAUAAAGUUAUUUUCAAGAAACAAUACUUUAAUACCUCAGGUAAAAUAUGAUGAUGCCGAGGUACACAUGGCACAACCGAAAUGGAAAAGAGAAAAGUGGGAGGAGAGGCAGACAAAUAUAGACAGAAAGUACAUAUCCUCCAGCAAUGUACCUUACCAAUAUAUAAACUGUAAAAUAUGGCUAUAUCAUACGUAUUUUGUUGUUGAUCGGUUUAGAAAAUAUAUUUCAUAUAUUUUAUGUGGAGGUAAAGCAUAUGUAUCCUUCUAUUGUAUCUAUAUCUAUC